Molecule: ribosomal RNA, 439 nt
Filed under: uncultured bacterium
Lineage: Bacteria
Description: partial 16S ribosomal RNA
Rfam family: Bacterial small subunit ribosomal RNA
Source: RNAcentral
CCUACGGGUGGCAGCAGUGGGGAAUAUUGCACAAUGGGGGAAACCCUGAUGCAGCAACGCCGCGUGAGUGAAGAAGUAUUUCGGUAUGUAAAGCUCUAUCAGCAGGGAAGAAGCUGCCGGUACCUGAUUAAGAAGCCCCGGCUAACUCCGUGCCAGCAGCCGCGGUAAUACGGAGGAUGCGAGCGUUAUCCGGAUUUAUUGGGUUUAAAGUGUGCGUAGGCGGAUCGUUAAGUCAGUGGUCAAAUUGAGGGGCUCAACCCCUUCCUGCCAUUGAAACUGGCGCUCUUGAGUGGAAGAGUAGUAUGCGGAAUGCGUGGUGUAGCUGUGAAAUGCAUAGAUAUCACGCAGAACCCCGAUUGCGAAGGCAGCAUGCCGGCUUCCGACUGACGCUGAAGCACGAAAGCGUGGGGAUCGAACAGGAUUAGAUACCCCUGUAGUC